This 2773-nucleotide long non-coding RNA is filed under the name Homo sapiens (human). RNAcentral's name for it is "HSALNT0328172". The record is from RNAcentral. Lineage: Eukaryota; Metazoa; Chordata; Mammalia; Primates; Hominidae.
CAUUUUGCUCUUUAUUGAUAAUGUGUGUUCUUAUUUUGAAUAUUUAUCAUUAAACAUUGUAAUAACACAAAUCUGUGUGAAUUUUUGUGUGUCCAAGCUUCCUUCUUUAGUACCAAGUGGUCGCUUCCACUUUACUCGUCCAUUUCUUGUGGAUUUCAGUUUCUAAUUCCGGAUGGGCUUGAAAAUCAGAACACUAUUCAGCUUAAGCUUUGAGUGAUACAGUAGUUUAUAAAUUCCUAAACGUGGUUCCAACAAGUGUAUUAUGUAGCUUUAGCUCAUACUAAAGCUGUAAAGUAUUUCAGAUACCUAGUCCAUGAAUUUUCUAAUAAUUUAGGGGAGGUUCCCAAACUGAGGUAGUAUUAAAAUAUUGAGGAAAUCAAAAAUAAUAUUUGAGUCAUUAAAAUCAAAGUAAUGAGCAAUCAGAGAGAUGAUUUAAGUCAUUUUAGGGAAAAGUUUCCCUUAUUACAGAGGAGCAUGGUAAAUCAAUGCAUGAGAGACUAAAUAAUUAUUUUAGAUGUGUUGUGCAAUGUCCAGCAGAAUUUAAAUCACAGAAAGGUUUACAUUUGAACAGUGAAAGAUACCUGCAGUAUUCAUAGAUACCUGCGAAUAGUUAGGCAAAUAUGUUUUCAAAUAAAAUACAAAGUUUACACUUGUUUUGCCUAACACGGUUGUACAGGCCAAUGAUUAAAUGCACCAACUUUGGAAUCAAGAUUUCCUGGAUUCAAAUUCAAGCUCCACCAUUGGCAAAUUAUUUAACCUACAUGUGCCUCAGUUCCCUCAUCUAUAUGUGGAGGCAAUAGUUACACUCUCUUAUAAUGUUUUUGUUAGCAUUGUCAGAAGAUAGCUCAUGUGGAGCAUUUUAGAAGAAUACUUAUGUUUAACAGCCAACAGGUUUGCUUAUUAAACUGUAGAGAAAAAUUAAAAAGAAAAAUCAAGAAGUUCUUCACUAGUUUAAUUUUUCUACAAAUGAUAAAAUGUUUCUGAUUAUAUAUGCUAUGAAUUUGUUUAAUGUCUUGUUGAGGCAUCUGAAGUGUGUGUGCAUGUAAAUAUUGGCACAUUUCUGAACACAAUUUACACCGAGCCAAAGAGAGUCACUAAUAUUUGUUAAAUUGCUUUUCUAAAGUGGGAAAAGUAGCAUCUUUUCCAAAGGGUGCUUUAUUCACACUAACUAAUUAAGUGAAUGAGCUUUCUGGUUUUAAUUAAGUGGAGUGUUUGUAUAUGUAUAUGCUUGUUUAUAUACUCAGCAGCAAUAAGGGUGAGAUUUUAAUAUAGAAAGGAAGAAAUAGCCACUAAGAAAGUUCAAGCCCAUUCAAGUAAAAAUCCUAACCUGAUAGUUUUAGGCAAUGCAAAGUUAAUGGACUGGUUUGAAUUCCAUAAAGUGGUACUUUUUUAUCAUCUGAAAUGGCUCAUGGAUCUCAUAUGAACAUACCUAAUAUUUCUGGAGCAUUAACUCUUCAGAGGUAUAAUCACACUGUGUAUCAAUAAAGAUAAAAUACGUGAUAAGUGAAAUUUUGCUUUCUGGCUGCUUUGGGAUUAUGUGGCUAAUGACCAUCAGGCAGACACUCAGGCAAUUACAAUGGGGAGAUUUCUUAGCUCUGAAAGCACAGGCAAGAUUCCAAAAUGUGCAAAACAAGCAGAGCAUAGAGUAGGGGCAAAGGUGAUAUAUUCAUGGAUGAGUGCAAGUUUUGGUUUUCAGGAGUUCAAGGAGCAAGUCUGUUCAGAAUAUUGUUAUAAAGCAGAUAGAGGACAAAAGCAUAAUUGAAAUAACCGGAAUGUACAUAGGCUAACUGCAUUGCUUUAUGUGGUGUGGUUCUGUGGAAAGAUUAUUAGACUUACAAGAGUGAGGACUCACAGUUCUGCCAGCAAAUAAGCUGAGUGGCUUCAGACAAGCCACUUUACUUAUCUCUGGGCCUCAGUUUUCCCGUUUAUGGAUUAAAGACAUUCACAGACAUUGGCUGAGUGCCCGCAAUGUGCCAGCUAUUGAGCUAAACUUGGGAUGCUAGAAAAGACAAUCCCUUUUCUGGAUUAGGAAGUUUACAUUUUAAAGAUGCAAGAAGGCACUAAACAAGGGCAGUGAGGUACAACAAGCUCUGUGGUUUUAUUUCUCCUAAAUGGGAGGAAACAUAGAGAGGAAGAAAAGUAUGCAAUCUCAGUUGCAAAUGGAGGCAGGGGCUCACCAUGUUCUCUGAUACGAUUGUACCGCCCAUUGGUAAGAAUCAGAGGCUGAAAAGAUUCUGUUACUGAAACUCAACACUUAGUUGAUACCUGCUACAACUUUAACUACUCGUUGACUGUUUACGGCUUUUGCUGUAAGUUGGAGUAUGGUGACAAACACACAAAAAAUUGUCAACCGCAGAUGUAGCCAUGAAGUAUUAUGAGCGAGUAAUAGCAAGGGCUUUGCUGUCCUCUCUCUCCACUGUUGUUUCAAACAAACACAAAAUCAACAGCAUAUGCAAUCUCAAUAAAAUAACAUAGAGAUGUGAUCUGUUGCUUUUUUUGAAAUGAGAUUAAGUCUGUCACAUCGUAAAUCUACCUGUGUAAUGUUUGAGCUUAACGUUUAACUUGAAAAAAAACCUGACAUUAGAGUAAAUAGUGUGAAGGAAUAAUUGAAUUCAGUUGAGGGUUAUAACUGUCUCUUUAAGUUUUAACUUUGGAAAAACAGGCCUCCUUGCAUAGGCUUCAAAUAUUUUGAAUAAAUAUUUGUCAUAGUGUGUCCGGAAUUGGUGGGUUCUUGGUCUCACUGACUUCAAGAAUGAAGCCACGAGCUCUCGCG